Molecule: ribosomal RNA, 497 nt
Filed under: uncultured bacterium
Lineage: Bacteria
Description: partial 16S ribosomal RNA
Rfam family: Bacterial small subunit ribosomal RNA
Source: RNAcentral
GACGAACGCUGGCGGCGUGCCUAAUACAUGCAAGUAGAACGCUGAAGAGAGGAGCUUGCUCUUCUUGGAUGAGUUGCGAACGGGUGAGUAACGCGUAGGUAACCUGCCUUGUAGCGGGGGAUAACUAUUGGAAACGAUAGCUAAUACCGCAUAACAAUGGAUGACACAUGUCAUUUAUUUGAAAGGGGCAAUUGCUCCACUACAAGAUGGACCUGCGUUGUAUUAGCUAGUAGGUGAGGUAAUGGCUCACCUAGGCGACGAUACAUAGCCGACCUGAGAGGGUGAUCAGCCGCACUGGGACUGAGACACGGCCCAGACUCCUACGGGAGGCAGCAGUAGGGAAUCUUCGGCAAGGGGGGCAACCCUGACCGAGCAACGCCGCGUGAGUGAAGAAGGUUUUCGGAUCGUAAAGCUCUGUUGUAAGUCAAGAACGGGUGUGAGAGUGGAAAGUUCACACUGUGACGGUAGCUUACCAGAAAGGGACGGCUAACUACGUG